UUACAAAUGGCAACAGUCCCUUGACCCAGGCAUCGACAGAUUUGGAUACAAUCAGAUUAGUAAUCAUCUGGUCCACUCUGUUGUGAAAAAGCACUUUUUAAGUCAGUGUGAUGCCACUCUAUACGACAGCCCCAAAGCUGUCAGAUGUUGGUGGGAGCUAGAAAACGCUGGUGUAUACACCGAUCCAGAGCAUUCCAAAGAUGUGCCUUGUCUGAUGAGGUCAUAUGAAGGUCAUUGAAGAACUGGGACAUUUUGAGCUGCCACAAAAUGUGCACAGAUCCCUGCAGCAUGGGACCAUGUAUUGUCAUGCUGAAAGGAUAUGCCUGCUUCUACCCAAACCCCACCACUGUCAUGGGCCACUCUGUUCACACCAACGACACCAGCAAAAUGUUCACUCGCAUGGUACCAUACACGCUGUCAGGAUUCAUCUAUCUAGAGGACUGCUCACUCUUGUCUCUUACAAUGCUGAACUGAAAUGCUGAAAUGCUGAUCAAUGCUCCAGAUCAAUACAAAUGACGUUCCAUAAAACAAUUUCUGACUGGAGAAAUUCUUCAAUUGUGAAAACCAUCUGCUGUCUGCAUGGCUGGUGUCAUAAAAUCCCGCAGAUGAAGUGAUUUUAUAUAUCUGGGUCAAAUAUGAAACACUGAUGUGGCGAUGUCAUCAAGUAAUAAUGGAGCUUGUGAAGAUGCAGAGAUUGAGGAUCUCAAAAAUUCUGGCUGUAAUGACGAAACCAGAAAGCAUGAAACAAACAUCUAUUAAGUCUUGGCAGUGUGGAAUCCCAUGCGGUGCAGUUUGUAGGUUGUAAUGUUGGAUCUAUGAAGGAUUUUUAUUGUAAUUAUUAGAGUUUUUUAUUGUAAGAAUUGAAGGUCAUAUUGCAUAUGCUCUGGCAGUCGAUGUGAGAUUGUUGGUUCUCUGUGGUUCUUCAUUUCUCAUUUGAAAGAGAUAGCUGUAAGGAGAGAUGGGGACUGUGUCUAUGACGUAUUCUGAUAUUGACUGUCUUCUUUAUGGCUUCUGUCAGCUGGAUAUACUGAAAUUAAGAGCGAUCUGAUGUGCUAUAUUUUUCCUUGAUGGUGUCAAAUGCCAUAAAUUUGAAUUUGAAUUUUCCUGUCCAUAUUAUUUCCUCAGGGUUAGCUGUUGGCGAUUCCCACCCUUAUUGCGACUCCCUUACCAUAUGAUAUCUGCCAGUUUGGGAGGGUGAAGGCUAACACAUCCUUCCUCCAUAACAUGUUUAGACAGCAAAUACAUCUUUUCCAGCUGACACUGCCAGAAGAAUGCACUCUGUGGGGAAUGAUAUGUGCCAAAUUCUCUUCAUGCGAUCGAGUAUCUCAGAUCAAGACAGGAGAAGAAGUAAGCCCCUCUUCCUACAUAAUAAAAGUAUGACCUUCAUGAGACCUGUGUGUAGACUCCUGGCCUUGGAUAGAACCCAUGGCAACGCUAGAACAAAAUCAUAUUAGCUGAUUUCACUCCUCAGCAGCAAUUAUAAUUAAAGUUAAUGGCAUAUAAACAGAUGUGAAUUACACAAACACACACACACAUACACAUUUCCAGUCAUUCUGUGGUUCUACUGACUCCUGGUUUCUGACUCACUCUGUUAAGCCCGUUUUAUUCUCUCCAGCUCCAGUCAAAUCGAACUAAUCAAUCUAAUCUUUUACUCAUCAAAAUAACAAACACUUCCUGUCUCCUCUCUACAUCUCUCUCCCCUUCUCUAAAUUGUAUACUCAUCAUAAGAUCAACUGUAUUAUAGUAGUGGACCAAAUAUAGGGCAAUGUCUUCCUGUAAAAUCCCUUUCAAAGCCGCAGCUCGCAAUUACUGUGUAUUAGUGGUGGAACAUUAUGGAGAAUUCCAGUUAUAAUAACACCUAACGACUGAACAUUAUGUUUUCAACAUAGCAGUGUUUGGCAAAGCUAUUAUACAUGAAGAAUGAUUUCCUCUGAGUUUUACCUUGUAUGCUUUUUCUUUCUAAAAAAAAAAAAAGUAGGCUCUCCUGCAUUAAAGGAGCCAUUUGUCAUUUUAGAGCCCUCUGCUGCCUGUGAGAGGAAUUGCAAUUGCAUUUAAAAAUACAUUUUUCUCCUUCCUCUUAACCACCAUCUCUGUUAAAAACACUCUCGACCCCACCAUCUCAUGUUGAAACUAUGUACAGUAUGCCUUGCAUAGUGCCUUUUAAGGAAAAGGUUUCAGCUGAGGAUUGAGCGAAUAUUCAGGGAAAAUAAAUGAAAGCCUGAAAUGAAGAAAGUCAGCCAAAUCUAUUGUGUGCUAAUAUUACAAAUCACAGUCUUUAACAUUAUGUGAUUAUUAUAGAUCUAAAAAAAAUACUUUUUAAAAAUACAAACGGCACCUUUAAGACCAUACAACAUAUCUCAAGGUGUGCAUGGAAAUGUUUUGUCACUUUAUUAUCUGUACUUGUGCACCAUUAUGUGAACACUAUAACCAUUUCAGUAAUAUCCUUAUUACAAAUAUUUAAAUAAUUUGUGCUUUACUGGUGCACAGUGACAUCAGUGACAGUUUCAGCCAGGUGGCAGCACUAACACAACAUCCACUGUCAUAUAAGCCUCCAUGUCUAAUGUCAUGUGACACACCUGAAGCGAGAAAGUUCAUACAUGAUUAUACAAUACCAUGGAAACUUGGGCGGUUUGUAAAAUGGAUCUAUAUUUGCUCUUAUUCAAUAAGAAUUGAUCCUAUAUCAUCAAGCUGAACUUUGCUAAGUAUGCUAAAGUUACCUAGAAGCUGCUCCAAGUUCCUUGGCAAAUAGGGGGUUUGCUGGCACAUCAGCAGAGGUUUAGCUUACAUUUCAGCUUUGUAAUACAGCCAUUUUGGACUGAGGUUGAACUGUGACAUUUAGCAGUAGGACAGGUGAAUGGCUAAGACAAGAUGAAGCACAGGUUGUAGCUGAACUCUCUUUCUGCUCAUGUCUUUGUCUGUUUCUUUGUGCUAGUCAUUUUUGUGGCCUUCUGCUACAAAAAAAAAACACUUACACACUAUAACAAGUGUGCUAAACUUUGUAAUUUAGUGCAUUUUGCUUCCACUAUUUAAGAUUUAAUCAUGGCAUAUGGUGAUUUGAAACACUUUGAAAAAUGCUGACAAAUGCACACAGACACCUUCAACCAGUGCUGUAUGAGGAAAAUCCUGCACUGCCCACACACACAUUCCUGUCACACGCUGUUUAAGACUCUGUAGUGCUGCUUGGGACUCUAGGAAACCAGAGAGGCAUGAAAAAAAAUGCCCCCACACAUACACUGCUUACUUAAUAUUAUAUUACAAUGCAGCUUUUGAUGGAAGGAGGAUGGCAGACAGCAAUACAGCAUCACUCUGAAAUAUUAAAUGCUGAUAAAACAUUCUGUACUUAGAGAUGCUGAUGGCUACUUCAUUACCUUGGGCUUGUGUAAGUAAGUAAGUAAGUAAGUAAGUAAUCUUUACUUGUAUAGCACUUUUCUAGACAUGACAAAGUGCUUCGAAUUACUUAAACCACAACCUUCACAUGGCUUACUGAAAAUGAGACAUAAA
Pangasianodon hypophthalmus (striped catfish) is the source of this 3501-nucleotide long non-coding RNA. RefSeq lists it as uncharacterized. The record is from RefSeq and is a predicted model, not a curated record. NCBI's taxonomy places the organism in Eukaryota, Metazoa, Chordata, Actinopteri, Siluriformes, Pangasiidae. The transcript is spliced from 4 exons.